This 690-nucleotide ribosomal RNA is filed under the name Triticum aestivum (bread wheat). Its description in RNAcentral is "partial small subunit ribosomal RNA". Lineage: Eukaryota; Viridiplantae; Streptophyta; Magnoliopsida; Poales; Poaceae. The record is from RNAcentral.
AUGGUCUCCGGCACCGCGCCGGACAGCAUGUUGUACCCCACGUUGAUCACCUCCAGGCUCUCCAUGUCCCCGAUGCUCUCCGGCAGCUCCCCCGCGAACUCGUUGUGGCUGAGAUCCAGCACCUUGAGCUUCUUCAGCUUGCCGAUCUCCGGCGGGAUGCAGGAGCUGAUGCUGGUGUUGAGCAGGAUGAGCUCCACGAGCGUGUCGGCCAUGUCGCCGAUGCUCGGCGGCAGGCAGCCGGCCAGCUUGGUGUUGGCGAGCACGAUGACCGACGCUGUGGAGUUGGUCAGGCUCCCCGACGCCAGCGACACGUUGAAGCGGUUGUCGUUGGCGAACAGCGCGUCCAGGCUGAGCUGCCGGCCGAACACCGCGUCCGGGAGCUCGCCGUCGAAGUCGUUGAACCUGAGGUCGAGGUACUUGAGCGACGGCAGAGAGGUGAGGAACGACGGGAAGGCGCCGGAGAGGAGGUUGUUGCUGACGUCCAGCUCGAAAAGGAGGCGCAUGUGCUGCAUGGACGUCGGCAGCGUGCCGUGGAACCGGUUGGAGUUGAGGUGGAGGACCGCGAGAUCGGCCAGGAGGCCGAGGUGGUCGGUGAGGACGCCGGCGAUGCGGCCGUGGUUGAGGUCGACGCCCGCCACGGUGAGGAUGCACGGGUCGUCGGGCGCGGCGGCGCAGAACACGCCGGUGUAG